CUGUUUGCCGAUGGAGCAUCAUCAAGAUUCACAAAAACUUCAUCACUAGGGCUAGUGGAUGAUGGAGUUGAUGGUGGCCUUUACAUCUUUUUUUCUUUCCUUUUGUGGCCCCUUUUCUUCAAAAUCAAUCCAUUAGUCCUUUUGAUCAUGGGAAUCUUGAUGAUGCUGCAGCGGCAAUAAA
Molecule: microRNA precursor, 181 nt
Filed under: Jatropha curcas
Lineage: Eukaryota; Viridiplantae; Streptophyta; Magnoliopsida; Malpighiales; Euphorbiaceae
Description: mir-172 microRNA precursor family
Rfam family: mir-172 microRNA precursor family
About the family: mir-172 has been experimentally verified in Arabidopsis thaliana. This family is thought to target mRNAs coding for APETALA2-like transcription factors. The mature sequence is excised from the 3' arm of the hairpin.
Source: Rfam by way of RNAcentral